GAUGAACGCUGGCGGCGUGCCUAAUACAUGCAAGUCGAGCGAACAGACGAGGAGCUUGCUCCUCUGACGUUAGCGGCGGACGGGUGAGUAACACGUGGAUAACCUACCUAUAAGACUGGGAUAACUUCGGGAAACCGGAGCUAAUACCGGAUAAUAUAUUGAACCGCAUGGUUCAAUAGUGGAAGACGGUUUUGCUGUCACUUAUAGAUGGAUCCGCGCCGCAUUAGCUAGUUGGUAAGGUAACGGCUUACCAAGGCAACGAUGCGUAGCCGACCUGAGAGGGUGAUCGGCCACACUGGAACUGAGACACGGUCCAGACUCCUACGGGAGGCAGCAGUAGGGAAUCUUCCGCAAUGGGCGAAAGCCUGACGGAGCAACGCCGCGUGAGUGAUGAAGGUCUUCGGAUCGUAAAACUCUAUUAUUAGGGAAGAACAAAUGUGUAAGUAACUAUGCACGUCUUGACGGUACCUAAUCAGAAAGCCACGGCUAACUACGUG
This 497-nucleotide ribosomal RNA is filed under the name uncultured bacterium. RNAcentral's name for it is "partial 16S ribosomal RNA". It matches the Rfam family "Bacterial small subunit ribosomal RNA", at positions 28 to 507 of the family's 1533-position model. The record is from RNAcentral.